RNAcentral lists this ribosomal RNA (253 nucleotides) under uncultured bacterium. RNAcentral's name for it is "partial 16S ribosomal RNA". It matches the Rfam family "Bacterial small subunit ribosomal RNA", at positions 524 to 776 of the family's 1533-position model. The record is from RNAcentral.
UACGUAGGCAGCGAGCGUUGUUCGGAGUUACUGGGCGUAAAGAGUGCGUAGGCGGUGCGGCAAGUCUGGUGUGAAAUCUCCCGGCUUAACUGGGAGGGUGCGCUAGAAACUGCCGUGCUAGAGUGUGGGAGAGGUAAGCGGAAUUCCUGGUGUAGCGGUGAAAUGCGUAGAUAUCUGGAGGAACACCGAUGGCGAAGGCAGCCUUCUGGGCCAACACUGACGCUCAUGCACGAAAGCGUGGGGAGCAAACAGG